Molecule: unclassified non-coding RNA, 351 nt
Filed under: soil metagenome
Description: partial contains 5.8S ribosomal RNA, internal transcribed spacer 2, and large subunit ribosomal RNA
Rfam family: 5.8S ribosomal RNA (bases 1-120)
Source: RNAcentral
GAUGAAGAACGCAGCGAAAUGCGAUAAGUAGUGUGAAUUGCAGAAUUCAGUGAAUCAUCGAAUCUUUGAACGCACAUUGCGCCCGCCAGUAUUCUGGCGGGCAUGCCUGUCUGAGCGUCAUUUCAACCCUCACGCCCCUAGGGCGUGGUGUUGGGGAUCGGCCAAGGCCCGCAAGGGACGGCCGGCCCCUAAAUCUAGUGGCGGACCCAUCGUGGCCUCCCCUGCGAAGUAGUAAUAUAUUCCGCAUCGGAUAGCGAUGAGCCCCUGCCGUUAAACCCCCAACUCUUUCAAGGUUGACCUCAGAUCAGGUAGGAAUACCCGCUGAACUUAAGCAUAUCAAUAAGCGGAGGA